GCUCUUGCGACUGUCUUCACUCGGCCAAAUCAGAUCAGAAGAAUCUCAACAAGAGAGACAGUACGAAGAUGAAGAUUGUGAUGCAGGUCCAGAUGAAAUGCGGGAAGUGCAGGACCAAGGCAUUGCAGAUCGCUGCUCAAGCACAUGGUACGGAAUUCGUGGGGUUCAACGGAGAGCGUCAAGAUGAAGUGGUGGUGAUAGGGAGAGGAGUUGAUGCUGUGGAGAUUGUGAGCGCAAUGAGGAAGAAGGUUGGGACGACGAGGCUACUAAGCGUUGAGGAUUGAUUGAGGAAGCCUAAAGCUAGAUCGAGAUGGGCCUAUCGAGUUUAGAAGAUUUCAGAAUUUUCUAUUAAGCACAUAGAUAGAUUUGAUUCUUCUUUCCAUACAUAUUCUCUUUCGUCCUGUCGUAGAAAAAGUGAAGCCAGAUACUUUAAUUCUUGGACUGUCAAUUACAUAUUAUGUUAUUCAUGCAUGCUUAUACUUUGAAUA
Molecule: long non-coding RNA, 488 nt
Organism: Eucalyptus grandis
Lineage: Eukaryota; Viridiplantae; Streptophyta; Magnoliopsida; Myrtales; Myrtaceae
Exons: 3
Source: RefSeq, a predicted model, not a curated record